Molecule: long non-coding RNA, 3393 nt
Filed under: Sus scrofa (pig)
Lineage: Eukaryota; Metazoa; Chordata; Mammalia; Artiodactyla; Suidae
Description: lncRNA (ENSSSCG00015023749.1)
Source: RNAcentral
UUUUUUUUUUUUUUUUUGCAACAAACCAACUUGCAAUGAAACAAAUGGUUGUGGUAAAGGAGGGAAAAGCAAUUUCCCACUUGAAAAAAUUUCAAGUUACGCAAAACAGAACUCUUCAUCUGCUUUCAUUUUGGAAGCUCCUUGGUGGCUCAGCAGGUUAAGGAUCCCAUGUUGUCACUUCAGUGGCUUGGGUCACUGCUGCCGUGGGGGUUUGAUCCCUGGCCCGGGAAUUUCCACAUAUUGUGGGUGUGGCCACGAUUUGGAAAGCCACACAGGGUCCUCACCACCGCCCUCGUGCCGUGGUCAUCCCAGCCCCCUGUCCCUCCCCGAGCUCCAUUCGCCCAAUUGCUUACGAGGUCUCUAUGUUGGCUUCCUUAGUGCUCCUUAAAUCUCUCUGCUUCUGACCACACAGGCCCCUUUCCUCUGCUACCUCCAGGUGGACCUUUCCCUGUCUUGCUUCCGUGGUGAUGGAGCUGGCUCCUCCCCAGGCUCUCUCUGGGCUCGGUCCUCCAGGCAGCAGGGUACACAGCAGCCCCGUCUCUGCAGCACCCUUCACUGCCUCCUGCCACUCCCCAGCUCAGAACCUUCAGUGACGUCCUCUGAUUUCCAGAGCACACAGUGGCUCUGUGCACAGCUCAUCAUGCCCACCAGCCUGCCCAGUCUCAUAGCCCCUGGCCCUGCCCCUCCCCUUCCACCACGUACAACAGUUGAAGGUCCCCAAACAUCCGCUUGGUGCAGAGCCUUCGCUGUGCUGGCCGCAGCUUGGAAUGCUCUUCCCUCCCACCCUAACCAUUUUCCCCGGUAGACUCCUGCCUCUCAAGAGUCGGCUGAGCCUCCUUCUGCAAGGAGUUUUCACUUUACUGGCUCCUCAACACCCAGUCCCUUUCAAGCACCUAUAUCCCUGUGUCUUUGUCUAGUGUUGGUUAUUUGUGUGUCUGUCCAUCUGUCUGUCUCCCACACUGCUCUGGCUUCCUUGAGGAUUAGGAACUGUCACAUUUGUGGGGUUUUUUGUUCGUUUGUUUGUAUUUUCUAGGGCCGCUCCCUCGGCAUAUGGAGGUUCCCAGGCUAGGGGUCCAAUCGGCCAACCUAUGCCAGAGCCACAGCAACACGGGAUCCAAGCUGCAUCUGCAAUCUACACCACAGCUCACAGCAACAUCAGAUCCUUAACCCACUGAGUAAGGCCAGGGAUUGAACCAGCAACCUCAUGGUUCGUAAUCGGAUUCAUUAACCACUGCGGCACGAUGGGAACUCCUUUUUUGUUUUUUGUUUUGUUUUUUUUUCUUUGGUUUUUUUGUUUCUUUUGUUUGUUUGCAUUUUCUAAGGAACUGUCACCUUUGUGCCCCAACACCGCUCACAUCACCUGACCUUUCCUGGGCAUUCAGUGAAUGAGGUAAGGAAUGAAUGGACAGUAUCGAUCCCUUACAUUUGCCCAGCUCUCCAUGUUUUUUCAAAGCAUCGUGUAUGUGUUUGAGAUUGGAAGCUGUGCCCCAAACCGUCUUCAAAGUACCACCUCCACCUGCCACAUAUUAAUUUAUCCUCUGGGCAAGUUUGGGAGCGAGGAGGAGUGUAUUCCUCCUCCUUUCCUGGUAGUGAAAGUGGGAUGCGUGAUAAUGGGGAGAGCCUGCUGCUCAAAGCCAUGCAGCUGGCACGUGGGAGGCCCAGGAGGCAGACUGCCUGUGUUCUUGUCCCUCGCCACCUCAUGUCCCCACCGGUGGCACUGGCCUGGCUCCCCAGUCAGCCCUGGGUGGCUCCCCACAAAGAAAUGGAGAUGGUGAGACAUUUAAAACACUGCCUCCUCCAUUUUCAGCCACGCUUUCAGAAGGCGAGGGAGGGGAAACCAGGAGAUCUGACGUGGAACCCGCAGCUCUGAUGAGUUGAGGAUGAGCUACUCAAGGGUCUUCUGUCUUCCACAGCCAACAGCUUCCAGAGACAAAGCAGAUUUGGUGUGUGCAGAUUUCCCCUCUCCGAAGGGAGUACAAACUCACUGAUCCCUUCCACUUGAACCAGGCCUCUGCUGCCAGGGGAUCCUUUCCAGAACGUAACCACUGGAGGGAGAGCAGAGCCACCUGUCUCCUGACUCCCUGGCCCACAGACCACAUCCCCAGACUGUGCACAAACCGUGACGGAAACCGUGGCUACUGGCUCUGCCCAUCCAGCCAGAUGUGGGAGAAAGACAAGAGGAGGGACUUGGUCUGGCACCCCUGGGUGCCAUCCUCAGCUGGUCUUUGCGUUCAUUCUGACCCAGACGGCGAUCCUGGGCCCCCCUCUACUCAAGCAGGUGUUGGAGGAGGUCACUGGGAGGGCGUGGUCAUCAAAGGCUCCUCCCCUCCUCCUGGCCCACGUAAGGUGAGUUCUGCUUGCCUCUCCCCACUAGAAGCUGCCCAAGGACCCAGCCUUGAAGUCAUAAGCUGCUCUGUAGACCCUCUGGAAGGUGUAUGUGUUUGUACCCAGUCACAGCCUCUAUAUAAACCUUUCAGAUUCUGACUGGGAGAGGGCACCAAGACCUGCUCAUCUUGCACCUGCCUAGGACAGGACAGGCUUAUGUGUAAGGUCCCUUGCUUAUGAAACCUGCCAGCUACCAAUUUAAUAUCUGCUGCUUUCCUGUCUCUCCCUCCCUUCUGCGUUCAGGGAACCCAGUUCCGAUUAUACCCAGGGAAGUUCCCGAGGUUUUAAAUUAGCAGCAGGGCCAGAGGGGUAUCUUCAAGAUCUUCUUCCCAGGAGAAUGCGGGGGGUGGGGGGCAUGGAGGGCAGGUUGUAAGGGUUGGGGGAUGCUGAAGGGAGUUCUUCACCCACCUCAGAUGCCUCUGCAAGUUAUAGUAUGGAGCCCUGGGAUAGACACUCUCCCUACAAGGACCAGAAAGUCACAUAGCUGAGCUCAACAAACUUUUGUUUUCUUUUUGGCCAUACCCUGGGCAUGCAGAAGUUCCCAGGCUGGGGACUGAACCUGUGCCACAGCAGUGACAAUGCUGGAUCCUUAAUUGGCUAGGCCACCAGGGAACUCCUCAACCAGCUUUUAACAGGCACCUAUGAUGUGCCAGCUAAUUAUGCCAAGAGCCAGUCAGAUAGGGGUAAUUUUUUUUUUUUUUUUGUCUUUUUACCUUUUCUAGGGCCGCUCCCGCAGCAUAUGGAGUUCCCAGGCUAGGAGUCUAAUCGGAGCUGUAGCCUCUGGUCUACACCAGAGCCAUAGCAACACGAGAUCCAAGCCACGUCUGCGACUUACACCACAACUCACGGCAACACCAGAUUGUUAACCCACUGAUCAAGACCAGGAAUCGAACCCGCAACUGCAUGGUUCCUAGUCGGAUUCAUUAACCACUGCGCCACAAUGGGAACUCCCAGAUCCCAGAUAGGGAUAAAUUUGACCUGGCUUCUCACCAGGAAAAAAAAAAAAAA